RNAcentral lists this ribosomal RNA (504 nucleotides) under uncultured bacterium. Its description in RNAcentral is "partial 16S ribosomal RNA". It matches the Rfam family "Bacterial small subunit ribosomal RNA", at positions 28 to 523 of the family's 1533-position model. The record is from RNAcentral.
GAUGAACGCUAGCGGCAGGCCUAAUACAUGCAAGUCGAACGGGAUCUGAGGGUAGCUUGCUACCCGAUUUGAGAGUGGCGCACGGGUGCGUAACGCGUGAGCAACCUACCCAUAUCAGGGGGAUAGCCCGGAGAAAUUCGGAUUAACACCGCAUAAGAAUGUAUUAACACAUGUUAAAGCAUUUAAAUGUUUAUAGGAUAUGGAUGGGCUCGCGUGACAUUAGCUAGUUGGUGAGGUAACGGCUAACCAAGGCGACGAUGUCUAGGGGCUCUGAGAGGAGAAUCCCCCACACUGGUACUGAGACACGGACCAGACUCCUACGGGAGGCAGCAGUAAGGAAUAUUGGUCAAUGGGCGGAAGCCUGAACCAGCCAUGCCGCGUGCAGGAUGACUGCCCUAUGGGUUGUAAACUGCUUUUGUCGAGGAAUAAACCUAUCUACGUGUAGCUAGUUGAACGUACUCGAAGAAUAAGGAUCGGCUAACUCCGUGCCAGCCGCCGCGGUAA